Molecule: long non-coding RNA, 293 nt
Organism: Poeciliopsis prolifica (blackstripe livebearer)
Lineage: Eukaryota; Metazoa; Chordata; Actinopteri; Cyprinodontiformes; Poeciliidae
Exons: 3
Source: RefSeq, a predicted model, not a curated record
CUGGAUCUACCGUGGUUCUGUUGGGUCUCAGCUUGUUGUUCAGAUUUUCUUCAUCAACUCUUUGGAUCAUUUGAACAAACUGUGAAGCUAGAAAGUGUGUGUGAGCUGAUGUGGAUUGAGCAACAUGGAUCAGAGUGAGGACAGAGAGGAGGGAGUCCCUCCCUCUAAAACCACUCUGUGUGGGGAAGAUGAGAGCCAGAGCAAAGGUCAGAGGAUCCAUCAGAGACUCAAAUCAGAACCAGAACCAGAACCCAGCUGUGUCUCCUUUAAGAGCGACAGGUCAAUGGAUCAUU